AUACGUAGGGAGCGAGCGUUGUCCGGAAUUACUGGGUGUAAAGGGAGCGUAGGCGGGAUGGCAAGUCAGAUGUGAAAACUAUGGGCUCAACCCAUAGACUGCAUUUGAAACUGUUGUUCUUGAGUGAAGUAGAGGUAAGCGGAAUUCCUGGUGUAGCGGUGAAAUGCGUAGAUAUCAGGAGGAACAUCGGUGGCGAAGGCGGCUUACUGGGCUUUUACUGACGCUGAGGUUCGAAAGCGUGGGGAGCAAACAGGAUUAGAUACCCUGGUAGUCCACGCUGUAAACAAUGAUUACUAGGUGUAGGGGGACUGACCCCUUCCCUGCCGCAGUUAACACAAUAAGUAAUCCACCUGGGGAGUACGGCCGCAAGGUUGAAACUCACAGGAAUUGACGGGG
RNAcentral lists this ribosomal RNA (396 nucleotides) under uncultured bacterium. RNAcentral describes it as "partial 16S ribosomal RNA". It matches the Rfam family "Bacterial small subunit ribosomal RNA", at positions 523 to 918 of the family's 1533-position model. The record is from RNAcentral.